CUUUGUGCUUUAACCUAGAAGAUGGAUGCCAAAGCCAAAGUGAACAAGCUUUAGCUACAAAAGACAGCUGUCAAAUACAAUGCCAAUGGCUACAAAAGGACAGCAGGAUCAAGACUUGAUUUCGGCAGAGACGAUGAACAUGAGUUCAGGGAUAGUGUACCUGAUCCACAAAACAGAACUCGUGAAGAGAGCACGGAAACCUUUGUAUCCCACGCCAGAGAAUCAAAGGACUUUUACCAGAGAUGCCAGAGCCAUUAACAGAAGUGAAAAUCCCUCAAACAGAUACUUAUGAAAAGCCAACUAUUUAUGAACACAGCAGAGGCACUUUUCAAACUCAACAUCCCUAUAAGCAUUCUUCAUGCAAACAGUCACAACUAUCACAACCAAGACAGCAAGCUAGUUUUAGACUGUGGCUACGAAGUAAUGAAAAGGAAAGGAAGAAGGCAGGAAGUAGUGUUCACCCAUUUCUA
Molecule: long non-coding RNA, 470 nt
Organism: Hibiscus syriacus
Lineage: Eukaryota; Viridiplantae; Streptophyta; Magnoliopsida; Malvales; Malvaceae
Exons: 3
Source: RefSeq, a predicted model, not a curated record